This 548-nucleotide ribosomal RNA is filed under the name Saccharomyces cerevisiae (brewer's yeast). Its description in RNAcentral is "partial large subunit ribosomal RNA". It matches the Rfam family "Eukaryotic large subunit ribosomal RNA", at positions 50 to 601 of the family's 3401-position model. Lineage: Eukaryota; Fungi; Ascomycota; Saccharomycetes; Saccharomycetales; Saccharomycetaceae. The record is from RNAcentral.
GCGGAGGAAAAGAAACCAACCGGGAUUGCCUUAGUAACGGCGAGUGAAGCGGCAAAAGCUCAAAUUUGAAAUCUGGUACCUUCGGUGCCCGAGUUGUAAUUUGGAGAGGGCAACUUUGGGGCCGUUCCUUGUCUAUGUUCCUUGGAACAGGACGUCAUAGAGGGUGAGAAUCCCGUGUGGCGAGGAGUGCGGUUCUUUGUAAAGUGCCUUCGAAGAGUCGAGUUGUUUGGGAAUGCAGCUCUAAGUGGGUGGUAAAUUCCAUCUAAAGCUAAAUAUUGGCGAGAGACCGAUAGCGAACAAGUACAGUGAUGGAAAGAUGAAAAGAACUUUGAAAAGAGAGUGAAAAAGUACGUGAAAUUGUUGAAAGGGAAGGGCAUUUGAUCAGACAUGGUGUUUUGUGCCCUCUGCUCCUUGUGGGUAGGGGAAUCUCGCAUUUCACUGGGCCAGCAUCAGUUUUGGUGGCAGGAUAAAUCCAUAGGAAUGUAGCUUGCCUCGGUAAGUAUUAUAGCCUGUGGGAAUACUGCCAGCUGGGACUGAGGACUGCGACG